UCUUUUAAUAGUAAUAUAUUAUAUUUAUUUUGGUUAUUUUUUAUUUAAUUACUAUUGCACUCGCUGGUUUACCAGUCAUAAAACUCCCGCAAACGCACCCAUUAUCAAACGUUCAACCAGUCGUUCAAAACGCUUGAUAACGCUUGAAACCGCAACCGCCCGUUUCCGCAAACUCCCGCAACCGCAACCGCACCCGCUGCGUUUAAACCAGUCAGGCCCUAAGUAAUCAAUUUCUUAAAACAGACAAACAAAAAACCUUAAAACGCUUAGACAUAAUGUCAU
This 282-nucleotide small RNA is filed under the name Arabidopsis thaliana (thale cress). RNAcentral describes it as "ATSL210900". The record is from RNAcentral. Lineage: Eukaryota; Viridiplantae; Streptophyta; Magnoliopsida; Brassicales; Brassicaceae.